This 253-nucleotide ribosomal RNA is filed under the name uncultured bacterium. RNAcentral's name for it is "partial 16S ribosomal RNA". It matches the Rfam family "Bacterial small subunit ribosomal RNA", at positions 524 to 776 of the family's 1533-position model. The record is from RNAcentral.
UACAGAGGGUGCUAGCGUUGUUCGGAAUCAUUGGGCGUAAAGGGCGUGUAGGCGGUUUGUUAAGUCAUGUGUGAAAUCCCUCGGCUCAACCGGGGAACGACGCAUGAAACUGGCAAGCUAGAGUACCAAAGAGGGGGGUGGAAUUCCCGGUGUAGCGGUGAAAUGCGUAGAUAUCUGGAGGAACACCGGUGGCGAAGGCGGCAUCCUGGACCGACACUGACACUGAGGAGCGAAAGCCAGGGGAGCAAACGGG